Molecule: ribosomal RNA, 489 nt
Filed under: uncultured bacterium
Lineage: Bacteria
Description: partial 16S ribosomal RNA
Rfam family: Bacterial small subunit ribosomal RNA
Source: RNAcentral
AUUGAACGCUGGCGGCAGGCCUAACACAUGCAAGUCGAACGGUAACAGGAAGCAGCUUGCUGCUUUGCUGACGAGUGGCGGACGGGUGAGUAAUGUCUGGGAAACUGCCUGAUGGAGGGGGAUAUCACUGGAAACGGGAGCUUACACCGCAUAACCUCCCAAGACCCAAGGGGGGGACCCUCGGGUCGCCUGUCAUCGGAUGUGUCCAGAUGGGACUAGCUAGUAGGUGGGGUAAAGGCUCACCUAGGCGUCGAUCCCUAGCUGGUUUGAGAGGAUGACCAGCCACACUGGAACUGAGACACGGUCCAGACUCCUACGGGAGGCAGCAGUGGGGAAUAUUGCACAAUGGGCGCAAGCCUGAUGCAGCCAUGCCGCGUGUAUGAAGAAGGCCUUCGGGUUGUAAAGUACUUUCAGCGGGGAGGAAGGGAGUAAAGUUAAUACCUUUGCUCAUUGACGUUACCCGCAGAAGAAGCACCGGCUAACUCCGUG